CGGGGAAUAUUGCACAAUGGAGGGAACUAUGAUGAAGCGACGCAGCGGGAACGAAGAAGGCGGUCGAGUCGUAAAGUUAUUUUAUAUGGGAAGAUAAUGACGGGACCAUAAGAAAAAGCCGCGGCUAACGACGUGCCAGCAGCCGCGGUAAUACGAAGGGGGCUAGCGUUGUCCGGAAUCACUGGGCGUAAAGGGUUCGCAGGCGGAAAUGCAAGUCAGGUGUAAAAGGCAGUAGCUUAACUACUGUAAGCAUUUGAAACUGCAUAUCUUGAGAAGAGUAGAGGUAAGUGGAAUUUUUAGUGUAGCGGUGAAAUGCGUAGAUAUUAAAAAGAAUACCGGUGGCGAAGGCGACUUACUGGGCUCAUUCUGACGCUGAGGAACGAAAGCGUGGGUAGCAAGCAGG
RNAcentral lists this ribosomal RNA (403 nucleotides) under Fusobacteriota bacterium. Its description in RNAcentral is "Fusobacteria bacterium partial 16S ribosomal RNA". It matches the Rfam family "Bacterial small subunit ribosomal RNA", at positions 355 to 776 of the family's 1533-position model. Lineage: Bacteria; Fusobacteriati; Fusobacteriota. The record is from RNAcentral.